This 460-nucleotide ribosomal RNA is filed under the name uncultured bacterium. RNAcentral describes it as "partial 16S ribosomal RNA". It matches the Rfam family "Bacterial small subunit ribosomal RNA", at positions 338 to 795 of the family's 1533-position model. The record is from RNAcentral.
CCUACGGGUGGCAGCAGUGAGGAAUAUUGGUCAAUGGACGAGAGUCUGAACCAGCAAAGUAGCGUGAAGGAUGACUGCCCUAUGGGUUGUAAACUUCUUUUAUAUGGGAAUAAAAUGUUCCACGUGUGGGAUUUUGUAUGUCCCAUAUGAAUAAGGAUCGGCUAACUCCGUGCCAGCAGCCGCGGUAAUACGGAGGAUCCGAGCGUUAUCCGGAUUUAUUGGGUUUAAAGGGAGCGUAGGUGGAUUGUUAAGUCAGUUGUGAAAGUUUGCGGCUCAACCGUAAAAUUGCAGUUGAAACUGGCAGUCUUGAGUACAGUAGAGGUGAGCGGAAUUCGUGGUGUAGCGGUGAAAUGCUUAGAUAUCACGAAGAACUCCGAUUGCGAAGGCAGCUCACUGGACUGCAACUGACACUGAGGCUCGAAAGUGUGGGGAUCAAACAGGAUUAGAUACCCUAGUAGUC